GGGAGUUUGGCCGAGUGGUUAAGGCGUUGUGUUUAGGUCAUCCUCACUAAACAGAGGAUACUUCAAACCGCAAUGGGAAACCGCGCAGGUUCGAAUCCUGCAGCUCUCA
RNAcentral lists this transfer RNA (109 nucleotides) under Biscogniauxia mediterranea. RNAcentral's name for it is "tRNA-Leu". It matches the Rfam family "tRNA". Rfam says of the family: Transfer RNA (tRNA) molecules are approximately 80 nucleotides in length. Their secondary structure includes four short double-helical elements and three loops (D, anti-codon, and T loops). Further hydrogen bonds mediate the characteristic L-shaped molecular structure. tRNAs have two regions of fundamental functional importance: the anti-codon, which is responsible for specific mRNA codon recognition, and the 3' end, to which the tRNAs corresponding amino acid is attached (by aminoacyl-tRNA synthetases). tRNAs cope with the degeneracy of the genetic code in two manners: having more than one tRNA (with a specific anti-codon) for a particular amino acid; and 'wobble' base-pairing, i.e. permitting non-standard base-pairing at the 3rd anti-codon position. The record is from RNAcentral. Lineage: Eukaryota; Fungi; Ascomycota; Sordariomycetes; Xylariales; Xylariaceae.